This is a long non-coding RNA of Anarrhichthys ocellatus (wolf-eel), 734 nucleotides long. RefSeq lists it as uncharacterized. The record is from RefSeq and is a predicted model, not a curated record. The transcript has 4 exons. Lineage: Eukaryota; Metazoa; Chordata; Actinopteri; Perciformes; Anarhichadidae.
UAUACACCGAGCAAGUGGUUCACUAAAGCGUGUGUUGGUCUUUUUCAGGUCUUCUCAUUUAACUUCAACCUUAUUGCAACACAUGAAGGAAAGGAUAGCAAUGCUCUGAAUAAGACGUGUUCUCCCUCUCUCCCCUGGUCUCCCAGAGAAGUUACCUUUGAGGAAAACCACAUGGAGCAAGAAGUUGCAUGCCCUGAAGAAUCCAGCAGGGUCCGGCAAUAAUAUUGACAGGGUCACAAUACUGUGUACAUAACCUCUGGUUGGACUGUUUCUCCUCUUUUCAGUAUUUAUGUUUGAGUUUGACACAGAUGGUGUUUGCAGUAUUGUGCAUUCUGCAAACUCCAAUGAAGUGAAAAGGCACAGCGACAACAAGGAGAGGACAAGAGCACAAAUACUGAAGUGGUUCGCUAACAAGAUGGGGGAUCAAGGCAACGGUGGAUAGAGGACAAGAGGAAAUUGUGUGCCUGAGCAAGAACAGAAGGACGCUGACGAUAUUCAUGACUAAGAACUCUCACAUCAUCAUUUAUGCGAGACAGGAUUACAACACAUGAUGCUAAUCUGAUUUCGGCACAUCACCGGCUGUCAGAUUAUACUAUUGGCACCAUUGAAUUUUGAUGAAUGUAUGGAUUGUUUUUUAUCCGUCAUAUUUACAUCAAAGUCUUUAUGUAGAAUGGCUUCAUACCCCUUGGAAAAAAAUGUCAAAAUAAAAACGCAUCUCUACAAAGUGACAUGCA